GCAAGUGGAGUAGUUAAGGAAAAAUAAAAAACAUGGCGGUUUUCUAUCAAAUUAGAGGGACAUGUGUUGAAAACGAAUCUGCACGAAUAAUUGUUCUUUUUCUUGAGAUCAUUCUAUAUACCGCUGUCUGAAAGAUUUUUUAAAAAAAAAUAUCUUUUUUCUAGAUAUAAGGCAAGUAAAGGUGUAGACUAUGAAAAAGAAGGUAUGUGUUCCGUUAUUAGUUAUGGAGGAUAGAAAUAUUCAAAAAAGAAUUUAACAGUAAAGUUUGUUUAUAAAACAAGUUUGAAUAGGAAAUGGAAAGUGUACACA
This 309-nucleotide ribosomal RNA is filed under the name Physconelloides anolaimae. RNAcentral describes it as "partial 12S ribosomal RNA". The record is from RNAcentral. Lineage: Eukaryota; Metazoa; Arthropoda; Insecta; Psocodea; Philopteridae.